GCCCGAGUGGCGGAAUUGGUAGACGCGCACGACUCAAACUCGUGUUCCUUUGGAGUGCCGGUUCGACUCCGGCCUCGGGUA
Molecule: transfer RNA, 81 nt
Filed under: Flavobacteriales bacterium
Lineage: Bacteria; Pseudomonadati; Bacteroidota; Flavobacteriia; Flavobacteriales
Description: tRNA-Leu
Rfam family: tRNA
About the family: Transfer RNA (tRNA) molecules are approximately 80 nucleotides in length.
Source: RNAcentral